This is a long non-coding RNA of Oreochromis niloticus (Nile tilapia), 1866 nucleotides long. The record is from Ensembl. Lineage: Eukaryota; Metazoa; Chordata; Actinopteri; Cichliformes; Cichlidae.
AUGCUACCUCCCCGGCGAAGACGUCGGGGUAGGCGCAGUGGUCGGCUGGUUAAACUCAAGAUCUCUUUAGCGCACCAUCCCACUACCGUCAAAGGAAUACAGAGAUUAUUUCCUGGAGCUUUUGUGCACCGACGUUUCCUGGACCCCGUGGAUUCCUGCCUCAUCCCCGUGGUCUGCCAGGAUGACGCGCCGCUCCUCCGUGACCCCUGUCCUCCUCGGCUCAACGUGCGCCGGGCGAACCUCCGCAAUCUGAGGCCGCUGUGUCGGACUCCCUGUGCCACUGGGGCUUUUACCUCAUCCCCGGCUCCUGUCAGGAUUGGGCUGGUAAAUGCCAGAUCGCUGGUGAACAAAUCUUUUAUUCUGAAUGAGUCAUUCAUCUCCUGGAAACUGGACUUCAUGUGUGUCACGGAGACUUGGCUUAAUACUGGUGAGUCCAGUACUUUAUCUGAACUUUUACCAGCGGGUUGUUCCUAUUUUAACACACCAAGGACAUCAGGGAGAGGAGGAGGUACGGCGGUUGUUUUUAAAAAGGAUUUUAAAUGUAAACAGUGUGUUUUACAGCCCUCGUUUUACAGCUUUGAGCUCACGUGUUUUGAAGUUAAUCGCUCUAACUCUGUGCUCUUUGCUGUUAUUUAUCGUCCCCCUAAAUACAAUAAGAAUGUCAUAAAUGACUUUUCAGAAUUUCUAGCUGGGAUUAUGCCCAACUACGAUCAUGUUCUUAUUGUGGGAGAUUUUAAUAUCCAUGUCUGUUGCCCUGAUAAACCUCUGGUGAAGGAGUUUUUAAGCCUCAUUGACUCUUUUAAUCUGGUCCAGUCUGUACCUGGUCCCACACAUGAACACGGACACACACUAGACCUGGUAUUGUCACACAGUCUACCUGUGUCUAACGUGGAAGUGACUGACACUGCUUUCUCUGACCAUAUGGCUGUAUUAUUUGAUGCUGUGUUUUCACGCACUACAGUUCAAACCAGCGCUCCUGUUCGCCGCUGUCGGAUUAUUAACCCUUCCACUGCUGCCCAGUUCGCAACUGCUUUUAACCAGCUGUCUAUCCCCGCCGAUCGUACUCCCUUGGACACAGAGAACAUCAGCUCCUGGUUUCAAUAUUCUUGCCUUACUAUUCUGGACUCUGUGGGACCAUUAAAAACCAGGAAGCCCAAGGCUAAAACUGACCCUUGGUUUAAUGACGCCACUCGGGCUGUGAAGAGGGAGUGUCGUAGAGCUGAAAGCAGAUGGAAGAGGGACAAACUGCAGGUGUCUCUUCAAAUCCUAAAGGACUGCUGGCGCCUCUAUCAGGAUACAGUCAAAGAGGCUAAAAGAAAAUAUUUCUCUAAGAUCAUUUCCUCCAACAGUCACAAUCCACGUGUGUUAUUUAAAUCUAUUGACUCAGUCUUAAAUGCUCCACAAAGCGGCUGUUUGGAGGCCUCUCAUAAACUGUCUAAUGAUUUUAUGUGUUUUUUCAUUAAGAAGGUUGCAACCACGCAGGCUCUCAUUUCUUCCCCUGAGUCUGACCCCUCUGUCUUGAUCCCUUGCUCUGCUGUUUUUAACCAGUUUGAGCCUGUGUCCCUUUCUUAUUUAGAGGAUGUGGUUGGCCACCUGAGGCCCUCUGGUUCCCCAAAUGAUCCUGUCCCACCACAGUUUUUUAAGGAUAUUUUUCCUAGCAUAGACCAGGCUGUUCUUACUGUUAUAAACAGCAGUUUAAUAUCUGGUGUAGUCCCUGCUAAUUUUAAGCAUGCGGUAGUACAACCCUUGCUUAAGAAACCUGCCCGGGACCACACUGUAUUGGCUAACUACAGACCUAUCUCCAAGUUGUCCUUUAUGUCUAAAAUCUUAGAGAAAAUUGUACAUUGCCAAUUGAUGGAUUUUUAA